CGCCCGUCACACCAUGGGAGCUGGUAUACCCGAAGUCGGUUAGCUAACCUCGGAGGCGACCGCCUAAGGUAGGACUGGUGACUGGGGUGAAGUCGUAACAAGGUAUCCCUACGAGAACGUGGGGAUGGAUCACCUCCUUUCAACGGAGAGUACACAUACUUUUGUUAUGGAGAAAUGAUUUGUAUCCAGUUUUGAGAGAUCUAUCUCUCUUUUUGUUCUUUGAAAACUGAAUAUCGACAUUGAAAAAUUAAAUUAUUAAUAUUUCAAAGUUUAGAUCAACCUAUAGAAUAUAUCAUACAAAAGACAAACAAUAGGUCUUAUACAACUAUUAAACAAGAUAAGAGUUUUUGGUGGAUGCCUUGGGUCUGAAAGUCGAUGAAGGACGUGAUUACCUGCGAUAAGCCUCGGUUAGCUGGAAAUAAGCUUUGACCCGGGGAUUUCCGGAUGGGGAAACCCAAUUGAGCUAAUCCUCAAUUAUCAUUUUGAUGAAUCAAAUAGUCAAAUGAAGAGACACGCUGUGAAUUGAAACAUCUCAGUAGCAGCAGGAAAAGAAAAUAAAGAAUGAUUCCCUCAGUAGUGGCGAGCGAAAGGGGAACAGCCCAAACCAACAUUCGUUGUUGGGGUUAUAGGACUACAUUUUAGAGUUUUAAAAAAUUUAGACAUAGCAGAAUAAGUUGGAAUGCUUAAACAAAGAGGGUGAAAUUCCCGUAAGCAAAAUGGCUAAAUCUCUUUGUAGUAUCCUGAGUAGGGCGGGGCACGUGAAACCCUGUCUGAAUUUGCCAGGACCACCUGGUAAGGCUAAAUACUAAUCAGACACCGAUAGUGAACUA
Molecule: small RNA, 830 nt
Filed under: Metamycoplasma alkalescens
Lineage: Bacteria; Bacillati; Mycoplasmatota; Mycoplasmoidales; Metamycoplasmataceae
Description: bacterial LSU rRNA
Rfam family: Bacterial large subunit ribosomal RNA (bases 328-830)
Source: RNAcentral